RNAcentral lists this transfer RNA (90 nucleotides) under Prevotella sp. RNAcentral describes it as "tRNA-Ser". It matches the Rfam family "tRNA". Rfam says of the family: Transfer RNA (tRNA) molecules are approximately 80 nucleotides in length. Their secondary structure includes four short double-helical elements and three loops (D, anti-codon, and T loops). Further hydrogen bonds mediate the characteristic L-shaped molecular structure. tRNAs have two regions of fundamental functional importance: the anti-codon, which is responsible for specific mRNA codon recognition, and the 3' end, to which the tRNAs corresponding amino acid is attached (by aminoacyl-tRNA synthetases). tRNAs cope with the degeneracy of the genetic code in two manners: having more than one tRNA (with a specific anti-codon) for a particular amino acid; and 'wobble' base-pairing, i.e. permitting non-standard base-pairing at the 3rd anti-codon position. Lineage: Bacteria; Pseudomonadati; Bacteroidota; Bacteroidia; Bacteroidales; Prevotellaceae. The record is from RNAcentral.
GGAAGUUUAAGCCUAAUUGGUAAGGCAGCUGUCCUGAAAACAGUAAGUAAUCGGUAAAACGAUGUGUAGGUUCGAGACCUACAACUUCCG